CUCCUGGAAACGGGUGGUAAUGCCGGAUGUUCCACAUGAGCGCAUGCGAGUGUGGGAAAGGCUUUUUGCGGCAUGGGAUGGGGUCGCGUCCUAUCAGCUUGUUGGUGGGGUAACGGCCUACCAAGGCGUUGACGGGUAGCCGGCUGAGAGGGCGACCGGCCACAUUGGGACUGAGAUACGGCCCAGACUCCUACGGGAGGCAGCAGUGGGGAAUAUUGCACAAUGGGCGCAAGCCUGAUGCAGCGACGCCGCGUGCGGGAUGGAGGCCUUCGGGUUGUAAACCGCUUUUGUUCAAGGGCAAGGCACGGUUUUGGCCGUGUUGAGUGGAUUGUUCGAAUAAGCACCGGCUAACUACGUGCCAGCAGCCGCGGUAAUACGUAGGGUGCAAGCGUUAUCCGGAUUUAUUGGGCGUAAAGGGCUCGUAGGCGGUUCGUCGCGUCCGGUGUGAAAGUCCAUCGCUUAACGGUGGAUCCGCGCCGGGUACGGGCGGGCUUGAGUGCGGUAGGGGAGACUGGAAUUCCCGGUGUAACGGUGGAAUGUGUAGAUAUCGGGAAGAACACC
This 561-nucleotide ribosomal RNA is filed under the name uncultured Bifidobacterium sp. RNAcentral describes it as "bacterial SSU rRNA". It matches the Rfam family "Bacterial small subunit ribosomal RNA", at positions 147 to 710 of the family's 1533-position model. Lineage: Bacteria; Bacillati; Actinomycetota; Actinomycetes; Bifidobacteriales; Bifidobacteriaceae. The record is from RNAcentral.